GGGGGCGAACUAGAUUCGACGGGGAUAGACGUGGUGUUGGAUAGCGAGCCGAGGUCCUGUGCCUCGUUAAACAGCAGGAACCUUUUAAGUGCCAACGAAGACAACUUCGACUACGCUUUAGCUGCUUAAUUUCAGCUAACGUUCGGUGCCCGGGCUCCUACCCCUGACAUGCGAACGUAAACAAGUAGGAUACGAGGUCCUUCGGUCCCGGGGGAUUUUCGGAAGCAAAGGGACUGGUUCAUCCGUUCCGGGUUGCGGGCGGGAGGGGUGAACGAGAUUAAUCCCGUAACUACGCUCGUAGAAGUCCUUCAUGGCGUGUCUUCGGACGGGACGGGCAGCACGUCCCCGCCUCCACCA
This 357-nucleotide transfer-messenger RNA is filed under the name Clostridiales Family XVII. Incertae Sedis. RNAcentral's name for it is "JAJZZA01 sp021797825 Standard tmRNA". It matches the Rfam family "transfer-messenger RNA". From Rfam's summary of the family: Bacterial tmRNA, also known as 10Sa RNA or SsrA, is named for its dual tRNA and mRNA-like properties. Its role is to liberate the mRNA from a stalled ribosome. To accomplish this part of the tmRNA is used as a reading frame that ends in a translation stop signal. Lineage: Bacteria; Bacillati; Bacillota; Clostridia; Eubacteriales. The record is from RNAcentral. RNAcentral also lists the same sequence under 1 other name.